Hordeum vulgare subsp. vulgare (domesticated barley) is the source of this 1055-nucleotide long non-coding RNA. RefSeq lists it as uncharacterized. The transcript has 3 exons. The record is from RefSeq and is a predicted model, not a curated record. NCBI's taxonomy places the organism in Eukaryota, Viridiplantae, Streptophyta, Magnoliopsida, Poales, Poaceae.
UAAGCUUAGCUUUCCCCUAUAGAAAAAAAAAACUAACCAGACACACGCUCCCUCUUCUCCCCUCCCUAUUUCCUUCCUUGAAGCCUCCCGCCGCCGGUCAUGGCGCCGGCGAAAUCCACCCCCCACAGCCGUAGUCCGUAGAGCAGCAGCAGCAGCAGAAGCAUCGGGAAUCAGGAGAGCUCUCGACCCUGCCCGAACCCGAGCUCGAUUUGAUUACCAGCCCGAAGAUGCUAGAGGAUGCCGCCGGCCAUCCCCGCCUCGUCGACGUAUUUGAUCUGCGGACGCCGCGGGCUCUCGUAAAUCAGUCCUAGCAGAUAGAUCUGGCGAGAGUGGGAGCUAAAAGCGAGCUGGACACUUGUAAUGAGGAGAACUGAAAAGGGGAGAUACUCACCGAUCGAGGGGAUGCAUGCCUUCUGCUUGAUACUCACUGUUUUGGUACUCUGCUCCCACAAAUUCUUCAAGUCCUCACCGUCAGCGUGUGACUCGUCGCCGGUCUCUCUCUCUCUCUCUCCAAUUAUGUAAAUCGUACUAGAGAGAGCACGUUGCUGGGUGGAGAGACAAGUUUUGAUUUUUAAUGUCUGAGUUGAUAAGUAAUAGUGUUUUGAUUGCAGAGCAUGUCGUUAUCAGGAAAGAUCUGUGACUUUGGCCGUGGAGUGUGAAGGACGAACUGGUGAAGAAAGACCAGUUCUUUGCAAAUAUUUGUGGGCACUAAGCAUCGGUCAUCAAUGCUUGUUGAAUCUUUAUGGACUUUUUGUCACCAUCGCUGUCGUGAUAAUACAUUUUUUUUAGGAACAUGAUAAUACAUUUUCCUACUAAAGUGCAGUCAUAUUGGUGCCAACCAUGUCUAUUCGUCCCUGGUGCUGCGUUGAAAUGUACCGGCAAUAUACGAGGAUCAAUUAUAUAUCUGUCUGGCUUCCUCGUUUUAGUACAACACAUAUUCAUUUGCCUAGAUCGAUGUUUUGUUGGGUUAUCUGAGCAUACUUUAUGAGAGGCUGGUAACUGUCCCGUAUGUGUGGUUCUAGUCGUGAUCAUGAAAAGAAGCCUUUGUUCUUUAA